AUCUACAGCCAUCCCACCCUGAAUACGCCUAACCUCAUCUGAUCUCUGAAGGUAAGCAGGGUCGGGCCUGGUUAAUACUUGACUGGGAGACUACCUGGAAAUGCUGAGCACUAUUGGCU
This 119-nucleotide ribosomal RNA is filed under the name Carlito syrichta (Philippine tarsier). Lineage: Eukaryota; Metazoa; Chordata; Mammalia; Primates; Tarsiidae. The record is from RNAcentral.